RNAcentral lists this transfer RNA (71 nucleotides) under Bos taurus (domestic cattle). It matches the Rfam family "tRNA". Rfam says of the family: Transfer RNA (tRNA) molecules are approximately 80 nucleotides in length. Their secondary structure includes four short double-helical elements and three loops (D, anti-codon, and T loops). Lineage: Eukaryota; Metazoa; Chordata; Mammalia; Artiodactyla; Bovidae. RNAcentral also lists the same sequence under 5 other names. The record is from Rfam by way of RNAcentral.
UCCCCUGUGGCUCAGAUGGUAAAGCAUCUGCCUGCAAUGCAGGAGACCUGGGUUUGAUCCCUGCAUUGGGA